This 342-nucleotide ribosomal RNA is filed under the name uncultured Pseudomonas sp. Its description in RNAcentral is "bacterial SSU rRNA". It matches the Rfam family "Bacterial small subunit ribosomal RNA", at positions 1042 to 1382 of the family's 1533-position model. The record is from RNAcentral. Lineage: Bacteria; Pseudomonadati; Pseudomonadota; Gammaproteobacteria; Pseudomonadales; Pseudomonadaceae.
UGCAGUGGUUGUCGUCAGCUCGUGUCGUGAGAUGUUGGGUUAAGUCCCGUAACGAGCGCAACCCUUGUCCUUAGUUACCAGCACGUUAUGGUGGGCACUCUAAGGAGACUGCCGGUGACAAACCGGAGGAAGGUGGGGAUGACGUCAAGUCAUCAUGGCCCUUACGGCCUGGGCUACACACGUGCUACAAUGGUCGGUACAAAGGGUUGCCAAGCCGCGAGGUGGAGCUAAUCCCAUAAAACCGAUCGUAGUCCGGAUCGCAGUCUGCAACUCGACUGCGUGAAGUCGGAAUCGCUAGUAAUCGUGAAUCAGAAUGUCACGGUGAAUACGUUCCCGGGCCUU